GCCCCCAGCCGGCCGCCGAUACGGCUGGGGCGUGAGGCGCAGCGCGGGCAGAUAGCGGGGUGGCUUCCAGGAAAGCGGGGAGGGGACGGCCCUGCGGGCCCGGCCGGGCAGGGCUCCCGUGAGAGACCGGGUGGGCUCCGGGGGUCCCUUCCUGUGGCACCCGGCGCAGAGCGCGCCGGCUGUGGCACAGCGAGAGGACGAGGGGACUGCCGGCGGCCUGAAGUGGUGUGGCUGAGAGCCAGGAGCUGCCGGGCAGUGUGCGUGAGCAGCCGGCCCUCCAUCCCUCCCCACGACGCCCGGGCCGCGUCAGGAUUCAGGAUGGAACUGCAUCCGUCAAGAUUCAAAAUUGGGCCCUUCAGGCUUGAAGCCGCUAACCUGGAGCUAUAUUACCACGCCAGCUUCCUGCAGCCGUGCACUCAGGAGGGCCCGCCACCCCCGAGCUGAAGACAAGGAGCCUGUCACAGUCAGCUUCUUCCCAGCUGAGGGCCACAGGGUUACUCUCACUGCCCGCACACGUGCCAGCAACAUCGGAUCCAGGGAUGAGGACCCGGACUGCAUAGUUGCAUUGGAAAAGUUGUCCGCGACACAGCUCAGUCUUCAAAUAUGAUACAUGCUGCUUUGUGUUUAAACAAGUAAUUAGGAUAGGUGGAAAAUUAUUACGUGAAUUAAUAGCACAAAUCCUAAACUGGGUAACUCUCCAGACACAGUUUUAUGGUUGACUUCAACCAACGUAAGUCCGUUGAGAAUGUCUCUUCAGCCCCAUUUCUGGGCACCUGCUUCUCACAGACGCGGGUGAACUUCCCCUGCUCGGUACAGCUAACGACUCACAGAACAGCACUCGUGACCCUGCAGUGUCUGACAUGCGCCCUCCUGUGUCCCAAGCGCAGGCCUGUGUGCCUUACACUAUUACUAGCGUAAAACAAAGCUGCUGUGCGUGGGUGCCCAGACCUCGUGCCCUCGCAGCACACCCUCACCACCCACACAGAGGCCCUACCCUGCGCUGCCAAGGCAGUGAAGCCAAAGGUGGCAAAGGAGUUACCAUCCCCAGAGCUGCACAGCCAGAGAGAUGCUCCAGGGAUGACAAGUCAAAAUUGUGCAUGACUCACCCUCCUUCUUUACUGCCAUGGAAACUGAAUAAUGAAUCAUAAGUGCUUGUUAUGCUGUUCAGCUCUUCAGAGGGCCUGGGUGUGUUCGGCUUGCCUAAGCUCGUGCCACAGAAGCAGAACUGAAAUGGCCAAAAAACUCCUGCCGUAAGGGAAACUAUAAAAUAUUAGAGUGUCUGAAAACCACAUCCCAGGUACUUCUAGAGCAAAUGCACCUUAAGUGCACACGGGGAAAAUUCCUAAAUCAGUUCCAAACGUAACAAUUGCUUCUCCAGACCUACGUUCACUGUAAUGACACUGCGACCCUGGUAACACUUUCAGACCCAAGAAAUUCAGCUACCAAGUGAAGAAUACAUCACAAACUCACGAAUGCUGACACCCCGCCUGUCAUGACCAGCGAGAUGUUAUCCCAUACCAACCUACCAGCACCCAGUCAGCAAGUGAAAAUGCAAAGUCCAAAGGAACAGCUUGAGCUGAGAGCAGUAGGAUCUGUUUUUGCCUACCUUAAAUAUCAGAUCACAGCUGACAUACCUUGCUGACAUGCUGAAGAUCUGCUGCGAUUCCCCUGAAGCUGGCCUUGCUCCUGGAAACAAAGACGCACUGCUACGCGAAGGUGCGAUCUCGCAAUCCGUGAUUUCAGGAGAAGAGCUGCUGCGUCAAGCUUUUACACCUCCUUUUGCUCCCAGCCUAUCUCCACCUUCGGCAUGGACUUCCACAUUGACCUACCUGAGUGUAGGGCUCCUGGUGAUCUCCUGUUCCAGCAGAAAGCUAACAGACAGCGCUUCCAACCCCGCAGAAGGCGACGUGACUGACCAGCACUGACCCCGGGUCCCAGCUGCCUCACUUCUGAGGGUGCGAUCCACCACAGAAAGGAGAAGCGGUCUGCCAUCUGCCCAGCUCCAAGCACCACCUCUCAGGCAGGCCCUCCUUAGAGGUUUGCAGCUCCGACCUGCCUGCUGGAUUUCUGAGUGCGGUCCUGUCGUGGCACCGUCGUACCAUCUGUGCCAAGGUGAAGGUGUAUCCUGGCUCCUGGGGAGCUUCCAGCUCCACUGCCGAACCCCACAGAUUCCUAAUCUAUUUCUGUCUGCUUUACCCAUACACAAAAUGGGGCCAUAACCAGCCACCCAACAACCACUGUCACUAGCUGGAACCACCUGAAGUGUGCCAUAAAAUCAAAGGAGUAAAGCUUCAGCUAGACCCUGCCCCUGGGAAGAAAGGCUGUUAUAUGCCCGGAGUGCUGCUAACACAGACGCUGGAUGCUGCAUCACUGAAGAGCUCAUCCUUAGCACCUCUCAGUGCCACGCCAAGCAAGCAAUGGUAUUUUACAACCAGAAGACACCUGAGCAAACUCGUGCAACUUGACCAGACCCAGAGAUUCUUUGAGCAAGCUGGAAAACCUGACCCUGAGGGGUGCAGAAACCUCUCCGAAAGGCAGAUCUCAUACCGUGCCUUUGUGCUCCUGGCCAAACUCAUCCUGAGUCUGGUCCUUAGCGGGGCCCCAAAUACCGAUGCGUUACCUCUAACCUGUGCUUACAGCUGCUGCUGAAGGAUGGGCUAACUUGCAGCAAAAUCCCAGGUGCCGGCAAGCCAGGGCUCCCAGCUCAUCCCACCCACUAGCUGCUCAGCUUUUCUGGAGGGACGAAGCGCCCGCGCCCUCGGCCCUCCUCUCAGCUGCACGCAAGCUCUCUCGGUUGUGCCACCUUCAGGAACAAAACCUGCGGCUGCAGCCCCGCGGCUGACACGGCAGUUUGGGGCAGGCUGUUAGCACAAGUCUUUUCUUGCCUGGGCCAAAAGCAAAGGCAGCAGCACCACCAAGCAGCCCCUGCCUCCAUUCUGCCUCUGCGUGGCACGACAGGGGGCAGGGCAGAGGGGCAGGAGGCUGCUCGCAUGGAUGCUGGGCACGGAGAACCCCCGCUGGGCUGGGGCUUCGUGCUGGGGCCGAGCAGGGUUUCUGUGCCCGUUUUGCUACGUGACUCACGUGCUGCCGUUGCCGCUCCCGGCCCUCGCCUGCCUUGGCUACUUACCCUUGGCUACUGAAACCUCUUCAGGCCCGGGCCAGUCCGUGCAGGACGGUUCCCUACCUCCUGCAUCACCUUCCCCCUUUGACGCUCUCGGUCUGGACUGUUAGGGCAGAUGCAAGCUACACCGCAAGGGGCUGCCGGGCUGUAAGGACAGCCUGCUGCCGGGAGAGGCCGUGGCUGGGAGGCUGCUGGCAGCAGCGGGGUCAGUCAUCGCCCCGUGCUCCCGUACAAAGCCGUGGAGAGAAAGGAGCUCCUCUCCCCGCCUGCCCAGCUUGAAAAGCCGCUCGGCGAAGAUAAAUCAAGGAAGCACCGAACUGGCACCGGCUCAGGUGCAGGCAGCUCUCAGAUCUCCUCCCUGAUGCUCCUUCCCUUCCAGGCAUCACGUCUGAGCUCGUAAAAGUCUCACGCGGGCUAGGUCAAAGGCAAACCACCAGGGGGAGAGCUGAGGCCAGGCUGGGGCUGGUUGCACGCUUCCACCUGGACAAAAUUCGGGGGCCAGCAGCACGUUUUGGUUGGGAUUCUCCUACGAAAACAUGUGCAUAUAGGGAAGGAGGUGACAACGACAACUCACAGCCAAGACAGCUCUUCCUCUGAAGGACAAAUCCUUUGCAGUGAGCAUUCGCAAGGCCCAGCGCCCUCAAAGCACGAGGUUUUGUGCUAUGUAACCACUGAUCUGGGUAUCCUGCCACCCCCUCGGCCAGCCGCAGUGCCCGCAGGGCAGCGCAGCCACCGCCGUGCCCUCCCUGAGUGGCAGCACAGCCUGGGGCUGCUGGACAUCUUCCCAGGUUUCUGCCCGCAGAGGCCAAUGCUGAUCCACCUCAGCGCCUCUUCAAACAGCACGGGGCUCCAGGAGACAACGUGUGGGCUCCGGAGCUACCCAGCUGGAUUUUUCCUCAAAGCCCCCUUUAAAUGGCGCGUCCCUACCUCCUCCACAGCCUGCAACCUUCUGCCGAGAGAGGAAAUCCGAGCAUCUCCCAUCCGGCACGUGCCCUCCCGUCCCCCAGACAGACCUCACAGGGACACGCCAGCGGCAGCAAGCUCCGGAAGCAGGACACAGCCACCCAGAGGGUUUGUCGAGACCAUCAAAUAAUAAUUUACUGUGAUUCAA
Long non-coding RNA from Cygnus atratus (black swan), 4232 nucleotides. RefSeq lists it as uncharacterized. The transcript is spliced from 2 exons. The record is from RefSeq and is a predicted model, not a curated record. Lineage: Eukaryota; Metazoa; Chordata; Aves; Anseriformes; Anatidae.